CGCGUAGGCGGUUUUGUAAGUCAGGUGUGAAAUCCCGGGGCUCAACCCCGGAAGUGCAUUUGAUACUGCAAGACUUGAGUAUGGGAGGGGGAAGUGGGAAUUCCUGGUGUAGAGGUGAAAUUCGUAGAUAUCAGGAGGAACACCAGUGGCGAAGGCGACUUCCUGGACCAAUACUGACGCUGAUGCGCGAAGGCGUGGGGAGCAAACA
RNAcentral lists this ribosomal RNA (208 nucleotides) under uncultured delta proteobacterium. Its description in RNAcentral is "partial 16S ribosomal RNA". It matches the Rfam family "Bacterial small subunit ribosomal RNA", at positions 568 to 774 of the family's 1533-position model. Lineage: Bacteria; Deltaproteobacteria. The record is from RNAcentral.